CCAUUUUAAUGAGUGUCUUCAAAUAACCAUACGUUAUUAAGUUAAAGUGUUUCAGGAUAUUUAUUUAUUUAUUGUUUAUUCAAAAAUAUUGAUAUAUUUAAUAUUUAUUUAAAAUAUUAUAUACAUGUUAGGAGACCAAGAAAAAUAGCUAGGAAUAGCGAGCUAGAGCUUAUAUUGGUGUGGUAACAUGUUCUGAGUAGCCUAGGCUAAGCACGGCUAUGCUAGUUCUUCUUAGCUUCUAAAGUUCCAGCAAGCUAGCUGAUAACAUAUUUAAGAGAAAUUAUAUUUGAUUCAGGUUAGAAAAUGUAUUUCUCUCAAGACAGCAUGUAGCAUAUUUUGUUUUUCAGCAGGCAAAAUGGGACACCAUCAAAAUGUACAUUUUUCAGAAGGGUGAAAGGAGUACAGAAUUAAUUCAUAGCAAUUUUGAUACACGAUUACAUCCCAUUACAAAAUAUACUGGAAUGAAACAGCUAGUAUUUGUUUUUAGAUUUUUAUAAGCUUAAACAUUUUACAUCAGAAUAUUUCAAUGUAUUGCAGAUGAAGAAUCUUGUAUAUUUAUUUCUUGCAACAAAUAACUAAUGUAACUCAGGCAGUGACCUGUCAUGGUACAGCUGCACCACUCCUAGUGUCUGUCUGUUUGUCCCCUGUUGGUUCCCCUCCUGUGUGUGUGUGUGUGUGUGUGUGUGUGUGUGUGUGCUGGUGGGGCGUGGCCUCCGGGGAACCUCCACUCAGAACCUGACACACCUGCUACUCACCUGCUCUCCAUCCACCAAUCAAGACCAUGCAGUAUAUCUACCCGGCUCUUCUCACCGGUCUUUGCCAGAUGGUUCAGUCCUCAAACCGAUACCUUCCUCCAACGUGCUUGCCGGCUCUCCAGAAACUUCUCAUCGCGGGUUCACUGCUGUUCCACGCCAGCCAGCUGUGCUCACUCCGCCUGCCUGCUCUCACCAGCACACGCCAGCCAGCUGUCCUCGCUCAGUCUACCUGCUCUCUGAGCUUCCCUCCACACACCUGGUUACUCGUUUCGACUUGUUCAUACAAUAAACCGAAACUAACCGCUUCAA
Long non-coding RNA from Siniperca chuatsi (mandarin fish), 1064 nucleotides. RefSeq lists it as uncharacterized. NCBI's taxonomy places the organism in Eukaryota, Metazoa, Chordata, Actinopteri, Centrarchiformes, Sinipercidae. The record is from RefSeq and is a predicted model, not a curated record. The transcript has 2 exons.